This 2931-nucleotide ribosomal RNA is filed under the name Klebsiella aerogenes. RNAcentral describes it as "bacterial LSU rRNA". It matches the Rfam family "Bacterial large subunit ribosomal RNA". Lineage: Bacteria; Pseudomonadati; Pseudomonadota; Gammaproteobacteria; Enterobacterales; Enterobacteriaceae. The record is from RNAcentral.
GGGUUGUGAGGUUAAGCGACUAAGCGUACACGGUGGAUGCCCUGGCAGUCAGAGGCGAUGAAGGACGUGCUAAUCUGCGAAAAGCGUCGGUAAGGUGAUAUGAACCGUUACAGCCGGCGAUGUCCGAAUGGGGAAACCCAGUGUGAUUCGUCACACUAUCGUUAACUGAAUACAUAGGUUAACGAGGCGAACCGGGGGAACUGAAACAUCUAAGUACCCCGAGGAAAAGAAAUCAACCGAGAUUCCCCCAGUAGCGGCGAGCGAACGGGGAGCAGCCCAGAGUCUGAAUCAGCUUGUGUGUUAGUGGAACGGUCUGGAAAGUCCGACGGUACAGGGUGAUAGUCCCGUACACCAAAAUGCACAGGCUGUGAACUCGAAGAGUAGGGCGGGACACGUGGUAUCCUGUCUGAAUAUGGGGGGACCAUCCUCCAAGGCUAAAUACUCCUGACUGACCGAUAGUGAACCAGUACCGUGAGGGAAAGGCGAAAAGAACCCCGGCGAGGGGAGUGAAAAAGAACCUGAAACCGUGUACGUACAAGCAGUGGGAGCACCUUCGGGUGUGACUGCGUACCUUUUGUAUAAUGGGUCAGCGACUUAUAUUCUGUAGCAAGGUUAACCGUAUAGGGGAGCCGCAGGGAAACCGAGUCUUAACUGGGCGUUAAGUUGCAGGGUAUAGACCCGAAACCCGGUGAUCUAGCCAUGGGCAGGUUGAAGGUUGGGUAACACUAACUGGAGGACCGAACCGACUAAUGUUGAAAAAUUAGCGGAUGACUUGUGGCUGGGGGUGAAAGGCCAAUCAAACCGGGAGAUAGCUGGUUCUCCCCGAAAGCUAUUUAGGUAGCGCCUCGUGAACUCAUCUUCGGGGGUAGAGCACUGUUUCGGCUAGGGGGUCAUCCCGACUUACCAACCCGAUGCAAACUACGAAUACCGAAGAAUGUUAUCACGGGAGACACACGGCGGGUGCUAACGUCCGUCGUGAAGAGGGAAACAACCCAGACCGCCAGCUAAGGUCCCAAAGUCACAGUUAAGUGGGAAACGAUGUGGGAAGGCACAGACAGCCAGGAUGUUGGCUUAGAAGCAGCCAUCAUUUAAAGAAAGCGUAAUAGCUCACUGGUCGAGUCGGCCUGCGCGGAAGAUGUAACGGGGCUAAACUGUGCACCGAAGCUGCGGCAGCGACACUAUGUGUUGUUGGGUAGGGGAGCGUUCUGUAAGCCUGCGAAGGUGGCCUGUGAGGGUUGCUGGAGGUAUCAGAAGUGCGAAUGCUGACAUAAGUAACGAUAAUGCGGGUGAAAAGCCCGCACGCCGGAAGACCAAGGGUUCCUGUCCAACGUUAAUCGGGGCAGGGUGAGUCGACCCCUAAGGCGAGGCCGAAAGGCGUAGUCGAUGGGAAACAGGUUAAUAUUCCUGUACUUGGUGUUACUGCGAAGGGGGGACGGAGAAGGCUAUGUUAGCCGGGCGACGGUUGUCCCGGUUUAAGCAUGUAGGCGGAGGUUCCAGGUAAAUCCGGUACCUUUUAACGCUGAGGUGUGAUGACGAGGCACUACGGUGCUGAAGUAACAAAUGCCCUGCUUCCAGGAAAAGCCUCUAAGCAUCAGGUAACAUUAAAUCGUACCCCAAACCGACACAGGUGGUCAGGUAGAGAAUACCAAGGCGCUUGAGAGAACUCGGGUGAAGGAACUAGGCAAAAUGGUGCCGUAACUUCGGGAGAAGGCACGCUGAUAUGUAGGUGAAGCCCCUGCGGGUGGAGCUGAAAUCAGUCGAAGAUACCAGCUGGCUGCAACUGUUUAUUAAAAACACAGCACUGUGCAAACACGAAAGUGGACGUAUACGGUGUGACGCCUGCCCGGUGCCGGAAGGUUAAUUGAUGGGGUUAUCCGUAAGGAGAAGCUCUUGAUCGAAGCCCCGGUAAACGGCGGCCGUAACUAUAACGGUCCUAAGGUAGCGAAAUUCCUUGUCGGGUAAGUUCCGACCUGCACGAAUGGCGUAAUGAUGGCCAGGCUGUCUCCACCCGAGACUCAGUGAAAUUGAACUCGCUGUGAAGAUGCAGUGUACCCGCGGCAAGACGGAAAGACCCCGUGAACCUUUACUAUAGCUUGACACUGAACAUUGAGCCUUGAUGUGUAGGAUAGGUGGGAGGCUUUGAAGCGUGGACGCCAGUCUGCGUGGAGCCAACCUUGAAAUACCACCCUUUAAUGUUUGAUGUUCUAACGUUGGCCCCUAAUCGGGGUUGCGGACAGUGUCUGGUGGGUAGUUUGACUGGGGCGGUCUCCUCCCAAAGAGUAACGGAGGAGCACGAAGGUUAGCUAAUCCUGGUCGGACAUCAGGAGGUUAGUGCAAUGGCAUAAGCUAGCUUGACUGCGAGCGUGACGGCGCGAGCAGGUGCGAAAGCAGGUCAUAGUGAUCCGGUGGUUCUGAAUGGAAGGGCCAUCGCUCAACGGAUAAAAGGUACUCCGGGGAUAACAGGCUGAUACCGCCCAAGAGUUCAUAUCGACGGCGGUGUUUGGCACCUCGAUGUCGGCUCAUCACAUCCUGGGGCUGAAGUAGGUCCCAAGGGUAUGGCUGUUCGCCAUUUAAAGUGGUACGCGAGCUGGGUUUAGAACGUCGUGAGACAGUUCGGUCCCUAUCUGCCGUGGGCGCUGGAGAAUUGAGGGGGGCUGCUCCUAGUACGAGAGGACCGGAGUGGACGCAUCACUGGUGUUCGGGUUGUCAUGCCAAUGGCAUUGCCCGGUAGCUAAAUGCGGAAGAGAUAAGUGCUGAAAGCAUCUAAGCACGAAACUUGCCCCGAGAUGAGUUCUCCCUGAGACUUUAAGUCUCCUGAAGGAACGUUAAAGACGAUGACGUUGAUAGGUCGGGUGUGUAAGCGUAGCGAUACGUUGAGCUAACCGAUACUAAUGAACCGUGAGGCUUAACCUUACAACGCCGAAGGUGUUU